RNAcentral lists this ribosomal RNA (455 nucleotides) under uncultured bacterium. Its description in RNAcentral is "bacterial SSU rRNA". It matches the Rfam family "Bacterial small subunit ribosomal RNA", at positions 339 to 796 of the family's 1533-position model. The record is from RNAcentral.
UUACGGGAGGCAGCAGUAAGGAAUAUUGCGCAAUGGACGAAAGUCUGACGCAGCGACGCCGCGUGGAGGAUGAAGGUCUUCGGAUUGUAAACCCCUUUCGGGAGGGUAGAUGGAACGAGCAAUCGUUCGGACGGUACCUCCAGAAGCAGCCACGGCCAACUUCGUGCCAGCAGCCGCGGUAAUACGAAGGUGGCAAGCGUUGUUCGGAUUCACUGGGCGUACAGGGUGUGUAGGCGGUUUGGUAAGCCUUCUGUUAAAGCUUCGGGCCCAACCCGGAAAGCGCAGAGGGUACUGCCAGGCUAGAGGGCGGGAGAGGAGCGCGGAAUUCCGCGUGUAGCGGUGAAAUGCGUAGAGAUCGGGAGGAAGGCCGGUGGCGAAGGCGGCGCUCUGGAACGUACCUGACGCUGAGACACGAAAGCGUGGGGAGCAAACAGGAUUAGAUACCCUGGUAGUCU